Non-coding RNA from Lasiosphaeris hirsuta, 95 nucleotides. Lineage: Eukaryota; Fungi; Ascomycota; Sordariomycetes; Sordariales; Lasiosphaeriaceae. The record is from the annotation of a GenBank genome assembly.
UCGGGUAUGGUGUAACGGUAACAUUUCUGACUCUCAAUAUCUUCUCAUCAAGAUCGAGCACUCAGGGGCCCGGGGUUCGAUUCCCCGUAUCCGAG